Molecule: ribosomal RNA, 1253 nt
Filed under: uncultured fungus
Lineage: Eukaryota; Fungi
Description: eukaryotic LSU rRNA
Rfam family: Eukaryotic large subunit ribosomal RNA (bases 584-1253)
Source: RNAcentral
AAGUCGUAACAAGGUUUCCGUAGGUGAACCUGCGGAAGGAUCAUUAGUGAAUGAGACGCAAGUCUCAAACACCCGUCGCAACUGGCUGUGCGCCUCUCGGGGCUGCACGCCGGAAGCGACACAUCUCACACACCUGUGCACCUUUCGGACGUUGGGUGCUGCAAAGCCCCGACGCCUGCCCUUUUACAUACCACUGUCUAUGAAUGUUAACUAUGUUAAACAAUACAACUUUCAACAACGGAUCUCUUGGCUCUCGCAUCGAUGAAGAACGCAGCGAAAUGCGAUAAGUAAUGUGAAUUGCAGAAUUCAGUGAAUCAUCGAAUCUUUGAACGCACCUUGCGCCCCAUGGUAUUCCGUGGGGCAUGCCUGUUUGAGUGUCACGUGAAACCCUCACUCCUGUCAUUGCCGCGAGGCGUGACUUGCAGUGGACUUGGACUGUGCCGUAGUUGGCUCGUCUUGAAAUUCAUUAGCUGUGCUGUGCGAUUUCGGCCGCCUGGUGUGAUAACUAUCUACGCCAACUGUGUCGUCAUUGGUCGGUGUGGCUCAUAAUCGUCGGCUUUGUUCGACAAUACACAUAACGCUCUGGCCUCAAAUCAGGUAGGACUACCCGCUGAACUUAAGCAUAUCAAUAAGCGGAGGAAAAGAAACUAACAAGGAUUCCCCUAGUAACGGCGAGUGAAGCGGGAAAAGCUCAAAUUUAAAAUCUGGCGGUCUACGGCCGUCCGAGUUGUAGUUUAGAGAGGCAUCUUCCGCGCCGGUCCAUGUACAAGUCCCUUGGAAUGGGGCGUCAUAGAGGGUGAGAAUCCCGUUCAUGACAUGGACUACCGGUGCUAUGUGAUGUGCCCUCAAAGAGUCGAGUUGUUUGGGAAUGCAGCUCAAAAUGGGUGGUAAAUUCCAUCUAAAGCUAAAUACAGGCGAGAGACCGAUAGCGAACAAGUACCGUGAGGGAAAGAUGAAAAGAACUUUGGAAAGAGAGUUAAACAGUACGUGAAAUUGUUGAAAGGGAAACGCUUGGAGUCAGUCGCGUCGGCCGGGACUCAGCCUUGCUUUUGCUUGGUGUACUUCUCGGUUGAUGGGCCAGCAUCAGUUUUGACCGUUGGAUAAGGGCUUGGGGAAUGUGGCACCCUCGGGUGUGUUAUAGCCCCUUGUCGUACACGACGGUUGGGACUGAGGAACGCAGCACGCCUUCAUGGUCGGGGUUCGAGGACCCACGCCACGUGCUUCGGAUGCUGGCAUAAUGGCUUUAAACGACC